RNAcentral lists this transfer RNA (59 nucleotides) under Eutreptiella gymnastica. The record is from RNAcentral. Lineage: Eukaryota; Euglenozoa; Euglenophyceae; Eutreptiales; Eutreptiaceae.
UCGUGGCUUAGUGGAUAACGCACUGGUCUGUUAGACUGGAUUCCCGGGUUCGAGUCCCU